GAACCUUACCAGGUCUUGACAUCCCGAUGCUAUUUCUAGAGAUAGAAAGGUUACUUCGGUACAUCGGUGACAGGUGGUGCAUGGUUGUCGUCAGCUCGUGUCGUGAGAUGUUGGGUUAAGUCCCGCAACGAGCGCAACCCCUAUUGUUAGUUGCCAUCAUUCAGUUGGGCACUCUAGCGAGACUGCCGGUAAUAAACCGGAGGAAGGUGGGGAUGACGUCAAAUCAUCAUGCCCCUUAUGACCUGGGCUACACACGUGCUACAAUGGUUGGUACAACGAGUUGCGAGUCGGUGACGGCGAGCUAAUCUCUUAAAGCCAAUCUCAGUUCGGAUUGUAGGCUGCAACUCGCCUACAUGAAGUCGGAAUCGCUAGUAAUCGCGGAUCAGCACGCCGCGGUGAAUACGUUCCCGGGCCUU
RNAcentral lists this ribosomal RNA (416 nucleotides) under uncultured Streptococcus sp. RNAcentral describes it as "bacterial SSU rRNA". It matches the Rfam family "Bacterial small subunit ribosomal RNA", at positions 966 to 1382 of the family's 1533-position model. The record is from RNAcentral. Lineage: Bacteria; Bacillati; Bacillota; Bacilli; Lactobacillales; Streptococcaceae.